Molecule: non-coding RNA, 21 nt
Organism: Caenorhabditis elegans
Lineage: Eukaryota; Metazoa; Nematoda; Chromadorea; Rhabditida; Rhabditidae
Source: Ensembl
UUUCUUGACAAAUACAGCAAC